Long non-coding RNA from Drosophila bipectinata, 330 nucleotides. RefSeq lists it as uncharacterized. Lineage: Eukaryota; Metazoa; Arthropoda; Insecta; Diptera; Drosophilidae. The record is from RefSeq and is a predicted model, not a curated record.
GAAGAAUCUAGGCAGUAGACUUUUAAAUUCCAGCCGGUUCAGGCCUCUUCGUAUAGAACUGGAAAAGAAAUAAUCAAACAAGAUCGGAUGGCGAAUUCUCAAACGCAUAUUACCAGGGCCGGAUUUUGACGAUUUUCCGUCCGGGGCAUUUGCGACUCCACGCCUCUCUCUUCUUAUAUCAAUAUAGGAACAAUAGCUUUUAUAGCAUUGUAAGCAUUGAGCCUAUGCCAUAGACGCACAUAAUACUAUCAUUUUACAUAUCGAAUUCAUGUGCAGAUAAGACAAUAAAUAAAUCAUAAGCCAUACACUAUUUUAAUACUUAUAAGGUAA